GCAAGUCGAGGGGUAACAGAUGAAGAGCUUGCUCAGAUUGCUGACGACCGGCGCACGGGUGCGUAACGCGUAUACAAUCUACCUUUUACAGAGGAAUAGCCCAGAGAAAUUUGGAUUAAUACCUCAUAGUAUUAUAAAGUGGCAUCAUUUAAUAAUUAAAACUUCGGUGGUAAAAGAUGAGUAUGCGUUCUAUUAGCUAGAUGGUAAGGUAACGGCUUACCAUGGCAACGAUAGAUAGGGGUCCUGAGAGGGAGAUC
RNAcentral lists this ribosomal RNA (257 nucleotides) under uncultured bacterium. RNAcentral's name for it is "partial 16S ribosomal RNA". It matches the Rfam family "Bacterial small subunit ribosomal RNA", at positions 57 to 305 of the family's 1533-position model. The record is from RNAcentral.